GUAGGUCGUUUCAUGGGAUUUGAGUCUGAGACAUUAAUUGCCUGUAGAUAACCAAUGACCUCCGGGUGGAUAAAUACGGGAUGCAUCGCACAGUCCUCACAGCGCCAGAUAUUUCAGGUUUACCCAACAUUUUACUUUUCUUCUUCCAUAUGUCUGGAGCAUCUUAAACCAAGUUCAAGGCCUAAGACUCUACAGUGUACUCUGUUGGUUCAUACUGGAGACGGUUUGGGUCCUUCUAAAGAGCUUCCUGGGUUGGAUUGACUUCAUGUACAUAUUGGGGAGUUUCUGCUUGCUCAUAUUCCACUGUCCUUCUCUUACACUUUGUCUAAUUGGAAAGGUCCACUGAGAUACAAGAGGAGAGAAGAACUCAAGUGUGUACCUGUAGGCUCCAGAUCACACACCGGAGGGAGUCCCAUGUGCCCUGAGGGGGAUCGGCGGUAUAUUGACUGGAAAAUUGGGAAGACAGCCGAUGUGAACCAGAAACUACUUCCAGGCACAGCUACUGCGUCUACAAGUUACUGUAAAAUUGCAGAAGCGUCUAUUCCAAGUGCCUGAGUGGGCUGAGGUAUUUGUCCCAAUUUCCCAUCUGCCUGUGUCACUGUGAGAAGCCCUAUUGUGCACAAUCACACAGUAAUAAUCAGCCUCAUCCUCUGGCUGCUGCCCAGAGAUGAGCAGAAUCCUUGCGUUGGCCGAGGCAUCUUUGGAUCCAGAGAAGCAGCUGGGGACCUGGAGCCUGGUGCUUCUCUGAAUCUGUGUGGUAGUAGAGGAGAUGCUGGGAAGGGGACCGUGCAUUCUGCUGGUACCCACGCUGCUUUGAGUAAAAAUCCUCCCUGAGCCGCUGUGUAGGGUCCACAGGGCAGUCCCACAUCACCCCCUGCUGGUCAUAUGUGGAAAAAUGAAAAAUGCAAGAGAUAAUGUCUGUGAAAAACUGGUAAAAUACGUGCUUUUCUAGGAAGGAUCAAAAUUGGCUCUACUGGAAAUAAAACAAGUAAGCUUACCUAUUUUAAUACAGAAAUGCAAAAUGUUAUGGACCCAUUCCACAGAAUGACUGAACAGACAGAUAUUCUCACAUGGAAGCUCUAAAAACAUCAGAGACCAGAGGGUUCCAAUCUACUUGCUCUAUUUUUAAAUAACACUUAAAAGGAUGGAAAACUUACCAGUUCUUUUAGAGAUCAGUUAUAUCAGUUAUAAUGCAUGUUACAGUUAAAUUACAGAAAAAUAAAAAUGGCAGACGAACAACAUUAGAUAUUAUGCAAAUGUUCUAAAUAGAAUAUUAACGAAGAGAUCUCAAUACUAGAUUAAUGAAUUGAUGAAUUAUUAUCAAGUGUCAUUGAUUCCAAUGAUGCAAGUUGUAUGCAAUAGUAAGAAAUAUUUUAAUAUAACACACAAUAUAAAUAUAUAUAGAUAGAUAUGAUCAUAUGGUCUCAAAUGAUACUGGAAGGGAUUUUGACCAAAUUUAGCAUCAAUUCCUAAUAAAAGCCACAUAAAACUAAAAGCCACAAACAGAAACAUUUAUAAUACGGCCAGACACACUCUCUCACACACGUAUAAUGAAAUCCUAGUGGCAGCAUCUUAGUCAAUGGAGUGGUAAAGGGCAGCAUUUCCAAAAAGAUCAGCAAUAGGCAAAGGUGAUUCCCUUUGCCCAUGUACCUCCAUUAAUAUUCCACAGUAUUCUGCAAGCAUGAGAAAAUCCAAUUAAAGUAAUGAUAUCAAUGGUUUGGACAUAGAAUUCACGGGAACAAAGAAGUAGACAUUCUUAAUGAUCCAAAUGAACGUUGUGGCCUUAGAUACUCUGGUCCCAGUGCAGAAGUGACAGCAGAGAUCACCCCAGUGAGUGACUAGUCACUAACACUCACUAGUACUGGUAACAGGUAAUGACAGAGGCAUGUGAGUGGAACAGGGGGAGCAAAGGGGAGGUCUUGGUCCACCUGCCCAGCAGUGAAGAGCAUCUUGUAAGAUAUUAGGCAGUCACCUGAGGUCUGGGGUAAUCAUCUGCAUCCCACUCACACUGCAUCCCAAGUAACAUCAGUCAUCACACUUAUGGGGCUUCUGUCUCACAGCCAGAAUAAGCCACAUGCAGACUUCCAGGGCAGAAAGUGUGGACUUUCUGCCCAAGUGACCAACACACUGAGACAGGCAUUGUGAGUCUGGUGUCACAGCACCUGCUCCAUGUGGAACCAAGGAGAAGGCAGGUCCUGUGCCUAAAAUCUUGUAAAGGUCCCCUACCAGAAGCUGGAAGAACAAGACUUCCGGGUUUGGUUGAGGCACCACUGAGCUCUGUCUCCUGAGGGUCCACUGUGCGGACUCCGCCAACAAGCUGUGUCUUGUCUUCCCAGGAGCCCACUUCCUCCUUGGAAGUGCAUUGGGGCUCCUAAUGGUCUGUCAGCCCCACCUUGUUCAAGACUCCCUGAGGAAAAAGGAGGCGAUGACCUACAUUGGAAGCCAUCAGUUAGGAAGCCAAAACCAGGAGCUCACAGGGUCACGGGAAGCCUCACGGGUGAAGGCAAGUCCCACAUCAGUGAGGACACAGGUCGCCCAACUGCCCUGGAGCCCACUGAGUGGUUGAACAUCUGUCUGACCCAACACCUGCCUCUCCUAAGUCUGAGGACACUCCAUUGCUGCCCCUGCUGGUGACUGCCCAUCCCGCAGCCGCUGUGACAUCCCUAAGCACACCACGCAGAGUGUUCGAUUUUACAGCAGUCUUCCCCAACGUUACUCCCAAGAGAGUGGAAUGAGAAAGGCCUUCUAGGAUUACAUGGGGACAGUGAUGCUCUCACACCUGCACUUCUAUUUUCAUGAAAAACUAUAAUUAUUUUCAAACUGUCAGUCUCUGUCCAUUCCACCCUAGAGCUCCAACCUUGCCUGCUGUGGCAGACACUGACCUCGGUGUGUGAGAGGACAGUGAAAGGGCGCAACAGGGACACACCUAUGCUGACACGGCCCUGUGUGCAUGUGGGUUGUGCACAUGGCUCUGUGUUUUCCUGUGGGUUGUGCACAUGGCUCUGUGUGCAUGUGGGGCGUGCAGAUGGCACAUUGUGCAUGUGGGGUGUGCCCUGGGAUAUUGGGACAGAGGAGCCUGGACAAAGCUGUGAUAUGUAAGCUUGGAUCUGUGGGAUGAGUCAAGUGAUCACCCUGGGAAAGACUGGAAGAGCCUUCAAAUCAGAGGUCAGGUCAUGUACCGAGGUCAGGAAAAGAGGGGAGGCUGGUUGCUGGUGAUGCUGGUGGAUGGCCACUUGAGGUCGGAGAGAUGGACCCUCUAAGCAGGGGAACCCAGCACCUCCAAAUGGAAUAGAAAAGAAAAAUCUCGAAAAAUUAAUAUUCUCUUACUUAAACCUUGAAAUCCUUUAUUACACAUUUUUAAGGUGUAUGAAUGUGCAUCUUCAUAUAGCCACAAAUGCAUUCACAAUGAUGUUGCCUAUACAUUUGUUAAUCAUGCAGAUGAAGAAAUUUUCACUUAUUGUAUUAUUUUUAAUACUCCUGAAUAGGCCACACAAUUGUCAGCUGGAACCCAGUCCCUGUGCUUUCCUUGGCAGUGAAUGCUGCUCUGGGAGGUCCCCAUGCACUGGGUGAGCCUGGGGAGCUCAGGGUUUGUGUCUCCUUCCCCACUGGCCUGGGGCCCCACGUGUGCACUGAGGCUGCUGUCCCACAAGGAGCAGUAAUAAUCAGCCUCGGUCCAGGCUGGAGCCCAGAGAUGCUCAGGGGGCCACACUGCCUCACCUGGAGCCAGAGAAUCUCUCGGAGACCCCAGAGGCCCAGAUGUUAUUCCUGCUGGUCAGGAGUGUGGGGACAUGGCCUUGGGGUUGCUGCUGCAGCCAUGCUUCUCCCUCAUGGCCUACAUUUUUGCUCUUUCCAGUGCAGGUGAGUGUGGCCGUCUGUCCUGGGGACUUGGUCACUGAGGGCGGCUGAGUCAGCCCUGCCUGGGCCACAGACACUGUAGGGCACAGAGAGGAGUGUGAGGGCAGGAUCCCAGCUCACUGUGAAGGAGGGUGGGGGCAUAGGGCAGAGCUGGGGGUGGAUCUCCAUCCCGAGGGUAAGUCACUCUCACCUGUGCAGGGAGUGAGGAGGUGAGGAGAGGAGCCCAGGGCACGGGAGAGACCCAGACUCUGAGCCCUAGAGCUGUGCUGUGGAGACGGAGCUGCCCUAAGUCUCUCUGGAUCUCCUGAAACUUUCAUCGGGGAUGGAGUGGAUACACUCAAAUCAGCCCUUGUUCUCUGUCUGCCUCUGGCCUCCCUGCCCUGGUCCUCACAGGGAGAUGGAGGUAGAGGAAGGAUGAGCUGACCCAGGGGGUGGAGGCCCUGGCUCUUGAUGACCCUGGGUCCUGGAGGUCAGCACAGCCCAGUGAGCACACUGAUGGCUGAACCCCUGGAGCCCUGGGUGGCUUCCCAGCUGGGAGGGGCCAUCUCAGGAUUGUCCCACACUGUCCCACAUGCCCUCAGACCCCACCCCACCCGGCCUCUCUGACACACCUGGGCCCUCCGGUUAGAGGAGGACUGUUGUCCCGAUGCUCUUCAUGAAGCUGCUCCUGGUGUCAGAGAGGGACCUGGGCAGCUGGGAUUCUAGACACCGGGGGUGUGGGUUGAGGGAUGUCCCCGUCACUACAAAGAGGCCACAGCAGCUUGCCUUUCAGCUGCAUCAGCAGAGUAUGCACAGAAUUUUAUUAGAUCAUCGAUUAUAAGUCCAAAAAUGGAGAAUAUUUUCUCUUUCAGUUUUUCAUGAGAAUUAGAUCCCAACAAUUUAAUACACUUAUUUUCCUAACACUGUCAUCACCAGGAGCUUGGGAUCGUGUGAGAUCCGUGUCGGCUCCAGUGCAGUCUCUAGGUCUUUCUUGUUUCUGACAUGACUGGAGUCAGCCUCCCUCUGUCCCCAUCACUGUCUCUCUGGAGAGACCGGGUGCCCUGGAAAAGGAGCUCCUGCCUGUGUGGACAUGAGCAGGCAGAGGGUGCAUCGAUGGGAAUGGCUCAGUCUACAGGGGAUCAGAGGAACGGACAUGCUUAGAUCGACAGACCCAUGUAGGGGGCUCAGACCCUCAGAUGCUGGUGACAGAGGUGAUGUCAAUCACAGAGGAGUGAAGGUGUGAUCAGGGGCCCCAGGGGGGUGGUUUAUGUCUCACUUCCUCGUGGGCACACAGCACUGAGUACACUGAGGUCUCUGUCAUAUGUGUGACAGUAACAAUCACCUCGUCCUCAGGCUGGAGCCCACAGAUGGUCAAAGAGACCACGUUGCCUGACUUGGAGACAGAGAAUCAUCUGGAAUCUCUCAGGGCCUGGUACUUCCAAGAGUCAGAGUUUUGGGGCAGCACCACUGACAGCUGGAACCAACACACACUAUGGGAUCCAAUGUUGCUGUUCCCGGAGCAGGAGAUGGUGACCUCCUGGUCCAGGGUCCCUGACACCGAGGAUGGCUGGGUCAGCAAAGACCGUGCCCAGGACCCUGAAAUGAGGGACACAGAGUCACAGAGGUG
Equus caballus (horse) is the source of this 5461-nucleotide long non-coding RNA. NCBI's taxonomy places the organism in Eukaryota, Metazoa, Chordata, Mammalia, Perissodactyla, Equidae. The record is from Ensembl.